This is a long non-coding RNA of Alosa alosa (allis shad), 514 nucleotides long. RefSeq lists it as uncharacterized. The transcript is spliced from 3 exons. The record is from RefSeq and is a predicted model, not a curated record. Lineage: Eukaryota; Metazoa; Chordata; Actinopteri; Clupeiformes; Clupeidae.
UAUUGUUCGUGUGCUGCUCUCUGUCAGUAAAGUUGGCUCUAUCUAUUUGAAGCAGAAUGCAAGAAAAGUUCUUGCAGUGCCAGAUCAGCAGUUUGCCAAUAUGAAAAGUGGGAAAAGAAGGAGAUCAACCCGAAAAGAUGAUUAAGCAAUGGGCCUUCAAGAGGUUUAUGAAAAAAUAGAAGAGGUUGUGAUGGCUGCCCAGUCGCUCCAGGAAGUGACUCAAGCUAUAGAAAACCUGUCUGAGCUGGGCAUCGAGUCAAGAAAGACUUACGUCUUGAUGGAGACACAAGCUGAGCAUGUUCGUGAGUCAUUCAGCUGUUCUGUGUGCAGGGGUAUGUUGAUUGUUACACUUUGAAACAAGCUGCUGUGUUCCUUAACGCAAACAGAUUUUUUUUUCCAAAUUCAAUACAAAAUGCCACUUAUCACUACUGCGGUAUCAACCUGCCUAGACCAAAUCGCGCAAAACACAAGCUUUUUUUGUUGCAGAAUGUGCAAGCUGAAGUAAUAAAGAAGC